AUAGUCCGGCAGAGAGCGGCCAGCGUUCACCGGAAGAAGACAUUGAGCGUCUAUCACUCCUUCUGUCAGCCCGAGCGAGUUGCAUGGUUUGACUGGAUUGGACUGCCAACGUUCUCGCCUCAACCCUUCCUUCACUCCACCCACACACCCGGUCUAGGGUGUAUUCCAGCGCUCCUGCCGACGAACUUUGUGUGGGAGAAGUACCUUCUUCCAUCAAUUGUAUUCUACGCGUCAAGACAACAUGAUGUUGAACAGCUGAAGACGCAAGCUAUUGAGCUUGGCUUCACUGGAGUUGAUAUGGGGGCAGGAUGUGUUGCAGCAAGAACAGUUUGAGAGAGAAGAGCGAGCUCGAGAGAAGAGCGCCAAGAAAGCGAAUUCGAGUUGGCAAAGCUUCGACUAGAGACAGAAUAGACUUCAACUGGCUCAACUCUAGGCGUCGUCUAAGCCGAUUAAAGUUGAAGGUGAGACUAUUGACCGUCCCCAUAUACUCCGUCCCCAUAUACUAACUUACAAGGAUGGUGAAGACAUCUAGGCAUCGUCUAAGCCGAUUAAAGUUGAAGGUGAGACUAUUGACCGUCCCCAUAUACUCUGUCCCCAUAUACUAACUUACAAGGAUGGUGAAGACAUCGCAUUCUUACUUAACCAACCUGAACUCCUGAAGCUUGAUAAGGACCUCUACACCGUGAGACUGGGUGCCUUGCUCUCUGGAAAAGCAGGUAAAGUUUAUUCCUCGCUUUGUCUCCAAAUAAUCAGUGAUUGUUCUUUUGAAAAAUGCCCUUCUGAGCAGUCUUGUAAGACUCCUGACGGCUUCAGACAAGACGUCAGAUCGAGCAAGAUCUAGCCCGGUGAAACCUACCAACAGUCCAGCGGAUUCCAGCAUCCGCCCUUCUGAGGAGUCUUGUAAGACUCCUGACGGCUCCAGACAAGACUUCAGAUCGAGCAAGAUCUAGCCCGGUGAAACCUACCAACAGUCCAGCAUCCACUACCUUCGUUUGUUUGUCAAGGAAUGGGGAAUAUCUCUUGAAGCUGUACAGCUGGCAGACGAUUGGGCUUCCGCUUGUAACGCAUAUCCAAAGACGUCCCACUCCAUGUCAAGUAACAAAAAGAUGCAGAAGCUGCACCCUUCAUCCUACCUCCACUGAAGUGUCUCAACUGCGGCGAAGGAGGACGACACCGGCCCCAGUGUCCUAAAAAUCCUCGCCCUUUUAAAAGGGACAGUACUUCAAUACUCACGGUGGGUUUGUUUGGGAGAUAAGGAAGUGUCCAAGUCUACCUACUGUGUUGUAAACGGUUCUUGGACCUCCACCAUUCUCAGCGACACUGGCUGUUCCAGUCUUCUAGUCUCCGAGGAAGCCCUACCUGACAUAGACACCACCAAUUGCAGACAGAUGUUGAACAGCUGAAGACGCAAGCUAUCGAGCUUGGCUUCACUGGAGUUGGUAUGGGGGCAGGAUGUGUUGCAGCAAGAACAGUUUGAGAGAGAAGAGCGAGCUCGAGAGAAGAGCGCCAAGAAAGCGAAUUCGAGUUGGCAAAGCUUCGACUAGAGACAGAAUAGACUUCAACUGGCUCAACUCUAGGCAUCGUCUAAGCCGAUUAAAGUUGAAGGUGAGACUAUUGACCGUCCCCAUAUACUAACUUACAAGGAUGGUGAAGACAUCGCAUUCUUACUUAACCAACCUGAACUCCUGAAGCUUGAUAAGGACCUCUACACCGUGAGACUGGGUGCCUUGCUCUCUGGAAAAGCAGGUAAAGUUUAUUCCUUGCUUUGUCUCCAAAUAAUCAGUGAUUGUUCUUUUGAAAAAUGCCCUUCUGAGGAGUCUUGUAAGACUCCUGACGGCUUCAGACAAGACGUCAGAUCGAGCAAGAUCUAGCCCGGUGAAACCUACCAACAGUCCAGCGGAUUCCAGCAUCCGCCCUUCUGAGGAGUCUUGUAAGACUCCUGACGGCUCCAGACAAGACUUCAGAUCGAGCAAGAUCUAGCCCGGUGAAACCUACCAACAGUCCAGCAUCCACUACCUUCGUUUGUUUGUCAAGGAAUGAGGAAUAUCUCUCGAAGCUGUACAGCUGGCAGACGAUUGGGCUUCCGCUUGUAACGCAUAUCCAAAGACGUCCCACUCCAUGUCAAGUAACAAAAAGAUGCAGAAGCUGCACCCUUCAUCCUACCUCCACUGAAGUGUCUCAACUGCGGCGAAGGAGGACACCUCCGGCCCCAGUGUCCUAAAAAUCCUUGCCCUUUUAAAAGGGACAGUACUUCAAUACACACGGUGGGUUUGUUUGGGAGAUAAGGAAGUGUCCAAGUCUACCUACUGUGUUGUAAACGGUUCUUGGACCUCCACCAUUCUCAGCGACACUGGCUGUUCCAGUCUUCUAGUCUCCGAGGAAGCCCUACCUGACAUAGACACCACCAAUUGCAGACAGAUGUUGAACAGCUGAAGACGCAAGCUAUCGAGCUUGGCUUCACUGGAGUUGAUAUGGGGGCAGGAUGUGUUGCAGCAAGAACAGUUUGAGAGAGAAGAGCGAGAUCGAGAGAAGAGCGCCAAGAAAGCGAAUUCGAGUUGGCAAAGCUUCGACUAGAGACAGAAUAGACUUCAACUGGCUCAACUCUAGGCAUCGUCUAAGCCGAUUAAAGUUGAAGACCUUCGUUUGUUUGUCAAGGAAUGAGGAAUAUCUCUUGAAGCUGUACAGCUGGCAGACGAUUUGGCUUCCGAUUGUAACGCAUAUCCGAAGACGUCCCACUCCAUGUCAAGUAACAAAAAGAUGCAGAAGCUGCACCUUUCAUCCUACCUCCACUGAAGUGUCUCAACUGCAGCGAAGGAGGACACCUCCGGCCCCAGUGUCCUAAAAAUCCUUGCCCUUUUAAAAGGGACAGUACUUCAAUACUCACGGUGGGUUUGUUUGGGAGAUAAGGAAGUGUCCAAGUCUACCUACUGUGUUGUAAACGGUUCUUGGACCUCCACCAUUCUCAGCGACACUGGCUGUUCCAGUCUUCUAGUCUCCGAGGAAGCCCUACCUGACAUAGACACCACCAAUUGCAGACAGGUAACCGUUUAUGACUACCUAGGCCGCGCUGACCAGUUCCCUGUAGUUAAAUGUUACUUGAAGUGUCCUUACUAUGAUGGUUGGGCAAAUGUUGUUCGAGCCCCAAUCUAGUUUGCAACAGUUCUGCUUGGUGACAUUACGGGAACCCGUAAACCUGACGAUCCUGCCUACCCUUUCCCUGCUCACGUGACUCCGUCUCCCACUCACAAGGGAAUGGUGCUGCAGCUGCCCCGACUCGACCUGACGUCGUGUUGCAACCCAUGGCCGAGUGUGUAGGUGCUGUACAAACUUGUGCUGGCUCUGGAGGCAUGGAACACCUUCACCCUCUUGUUCUUCCCAGCUUGGAACCUCUUAAGUGACUAUCGGAUUUUCCUCAUUUACAGGAAACGUGUCCCUCACUAGCUACUGUCCUACUAUAUCGUGAGUGUUUCCUCUACACAUCCAAAAGAGCUUGGGAAACGCGUGCUGGCUGUCCCUUCCGACUGUUGAGGUGUUGUACUCCAGGUGGCCCAUGAGUCCCCUUGCCGGUCAUUUCUCUCGCAGGAAAACUGAGGGUAAGAUAAGUGAACACUUCUUCUAGUCUGCCAUGGCCUCAGACAUCCGAGACUACUGCCGCUCCUACGACAUCUGCCAACGUAAGUCAUCAAGGGGGUGGGUCAAGCCUGUUCCUCUCCAACCCUUGCCUGUGGUGACAGACCUUUUCUUGGGUGGCGGUGGAUGUCAUUGGGCCACUUUCACCUUCUUCCGAAGGCCACAAGUACAUACUGACUCUUAUCGACUUUGGCCACAGGAUUUCCUGAAGUGAUUCCUCUGAAGGACGUGGAUUCCAUCUCUGUUGCUGAGGCACUAUUCUCCAUCUUCUCCAGAGUUGGAAUUCCUCUUGAGAUCCUCAGCGAUAGAGGAACUCGGUUCAUACAGCAACUGAUGGUCCAGCUCCACAAACUUAUUGACAUGAAGCCACAGUCACUAUCCCGUACCAUCACGCUGGGAACGGACGGGUAGAAAGGUUGCAUCGUCCCCUCAAAGCCGUCCUUCAGAAGCUUUGCCAUGAAAAACCCUGAGAGUGGCAUUGGUACCUUACUCCUGCGCUUUUCGCUCUCCAGAAACUACCUAGUGAUCGUACCGGCUUCUCUGCCUUCGACCUCCUCUAUGCCCAGGUUGUGUGGGGACCCCUUUCGGUUUUAAAGGAUUUGUGGGAGGACAAGCUUUUGGAGGAGAACGACCGGACCAGUCUACAGUACGUCAUCGAGCUGCGGGAUAAACUUCAAGACUGUGCUCAGCUCGCUGCCCAAGAAGCUGAUAUGUUUCUUCAGUAACGCCUGGCUGCACCGCCGCUCUCCAGCACGACAUCGUCUUAACCUGCGCCAGUAGGAUUUAAGAGAAACUUGCCCUGUGCUGAUUCACCUUCGCCCUUUCUUCGAGCGUGAAGUUGAUGAACUCCUCCAGCUGGGUGUCAUCCAACCAUCUUGCUCACCACACUGUUCUCCGGUAGUGAUGAGGAUUGAUGGAAUCCUGUCGUCUCCCCUUCUGUCUCGUCACUGCGUGUUCUGCCUGAGGAGGAUUGUCUUGGCUAACCUCCAAGUGUGACUUUCUACUUCGACAAUGUCUUCAUCUACUCUACAGAUUGGCCCAGCUACCUCGCCGCUAUAACCUCUGUUCUGGAGCGACUCCACUUGCACAAGCUCACUGCUAAACCCACCAAGUGUCUUCGGGUUCUCUUCUCUCCAGUACUUGGGGUUCCAUCUUGACGGAGUAUACCUACGUCCCCAGGAAGACAAGUCUAAGGCCCUCGUGCAGGUGUGAUGCUUCCAACUACGGACUGGGGGCUGUCCUUUUACAGUAUGACAACGGGACCCCUCAUCCAGUGUCCUAUGCCAGUUGUAAACUGCUCGACCGUGAACGGAUGUAUGCGACUACGGAGAAGGAAGCCCUUGCCAUCGUAUUUGGAGUGAAUUAGUUUUGACUACUAUCUCAAAGGGAAGGAGUUCCUGCUGGAGACAGACAACAAGCCCGUCGUGUAUCUUCAGUCUUCAAAGUGCUCCAAUGGCCGACUAAUGUGGGCUCUAGAACUACAAAAUUAUCCAUAUCGGGUAUUUCACAUUGCUGGACGCGACAACGUGGGAGCUGAUCUGCUGAUUCACUGUCCCACGGAGUAAACUCUUGUUCUCCACUUCAUGCAUUUUUGGGUACUGGGAAUUUCGGAUUUAAUUUACUUGCAGUAGAUUUUAAAAAGGGGGAUAUGUAAGGGCUGAAAUACCUAACUACCCUUGUUAUGUCUAAAACACAUUAUUGUACAUGCUUGCUCUCUCACACUCCCUUUUGCAUUAACAGGUAAAGGUAAUUACCAGCCCCUUCUACACUAUUACCGUUGUCUUUUUUCGAAACAGUAGUUCGAAGCUCGACUUUGGUUUAGACCGUCGGCCACGUUCUCGCCUCCCCCCCCCCCCCUACUUGUCAGUACCUCCCUCCUACGGGUCUAUACGAGUCAACGUCUGCCACCACUCCUGAUAGUCCGGCAGAGAGCGGCCAGCCUUCACCUGAAGACCUUGAGCGUCUAUCACUCCCUCUCUCAGCCCGAGUGAGUUGCAUGGAUUGGGCAGCCAGCGCUCUCGCCUCAACCCUUCCUUCACCCCACGCACACCCCCGGUCUAAGGUGUAUUCACGAGGGAAGUUUCAAGACAUCUAUCACUUUCCUUUGGCUGACUCUUGGACAUGCACGGGAACUGGCAUCCCAACUGGGCUUUUCUGUUACUUUCAUUUGUCCUUGGCCAGCUUUCCUCUCUUACAUAAAAAAAAAAAAAUGGCAUAUGCUGCAGUGUAUAGCGACUGUAAAUGAAGUGUUUUUUUACUA
Molecule: RNA transcript, 5890 nt
Organism: Portunus trituberculatus (swimming crab)
Lineage: Eukaryota; Metazoa; Arthropoda; Malacostraca; Decapoda; Portunidae
Exons: 10
Source: RefSeq, a predicted model, not a curated record